Molecule: unclassified non-coding RNA, 170 nt
Filed under: rhizosphere metagenome
Description: partial ribosomal RNA internal transcribed spacer region
Source: RNAcentral
GUAGGUGAACCUGCGGAGGGAUCAUUACUGAAUGGCCUCUCGGCCUUCAACCCUCAAACCUGUGGAAUCGAGAUGUGCUUCGGCGCCUCUGGCGUCGAAUCUAUGCUGUUUGGCUUGUGUCUGAUGAAAACAAAAAUUUAAAACUUUCAACAAAGGAUCUCUUGGCUCUC